AUUUAAAUAGUUUAUAAAAAUAUUGAUUUGUGGAAUCAAAGAUGUGAAUUAUCAUUUUAAAUA
This 63-nucleotide transfer RNA is filed under the name Crataraea suturalis. RNAcentral describes it as "tRNA-His". Lineage: Eukaryota; Metazoa; Arthropoda; Insecta; Coleoptera; Staphylinidae. The record is from RNAcentral.